UGGGGAAUAUUGCGGCAAUGGGGGAAACCCUGACGCAGCAACGCCGCGUGAUUGAAGAAGGCCUUCGGGUUGUAAAGAUCUUUAAUCAGGGACGAAACAAAUGACGGUACCUGAAGAAUAAGCUCCGGCUAGCUACGUGCCAGCAGCCGCGGUAAUACGUAGGGAGCAAGCGUUAUCCGGAUUUACUGGGUGUAAAGGGCGCGCAGGCGGGCCGGUAAGUUGGAAGUGAAAUCUAUGGGCUUAACCCAUAAACUGCUUUCAAAACUGCUGGUCUUGAGUGAUGGAGAGGCAGGCGGAAUUCCGUGUGUAGCGGUGAAAUGCGU
RNAcentral lists this ribosomal RNA (323 nucleotides) under uncultured Butyricicoccus sp. RNAcentral describes it as "bacterial SSU rRNA". It matches the Rfam family "Bacterial small subunit ribosomal RNA", at positions 355 to 691 of the family's 1533-position model. Lineage: Bacteria; Bacillati; Bacillota; Clostridia; Eubacteriales; Butyricicoccaceae. The record is from RNAcentral.